UGGGGAAUAUUGGACAAUGGGGGGAACCCUGAUCCAGCCAUGCCGCGUGUGUGAAGAAGGCCUUAUGGUUGUAAAGCACUUUAAGCGAGGAGGAGGGUACUGGUAUUAAUACUACCAGCUACUGGACGUUACUCGCAGAAUAAGCACCGGCUAACUCUGUGCCAGCAGCCGCGGUAAUACAGAGGGUGCGAGCGUUAAUCGGAUUUACUGGGCGUAAAGCGUGCGUAGGCGGCUAAUUGAGUCGGAUGUGAAAUCCCCGAGCUUAACUUGGGAAUUGCAUUCGAUACUGGUUAGCUAGAGUGUGGGAGAGGAUGGUAGAAUUCCAGGUGUAGCGGUGAAAUGCGUAGAGAUCUGGAGGAAUACCGACGGCGAAGGCAGCCAUCUGGCCUAACACUGACGCUGAGGUACGAAAGCAUGGGGAGCAAACAGG
RNAcentral lists this ribosomal RNA (430 nucleotides) under Pseudomonadota bacterium. Its description in RNAcentral is "Proteobacteria bacterium partial 16S ribosomal RNA". It matches the Rfam family "Bacterial small subunit ribosomal RNA", at positions 355 to 776 of the family's 1533-position model. The record is from RNAcentral. Lineage: Bacteria; Pseudomonadati; Pseudomonadota.